Molecule: antisense RNA, 187 nt
Filed under: marine metagenome
Description: Antisense RNA which regulates isiA expression
Rfam family: Antisense RNA which regulates isiA expression
Source: Rfam by way of RNAcentral
CAUAUCCAAAAAUUACUAAUGGAUUUAACGUCGGGUUUUUGAUUAAACGAACAUCUCCUCCACCUGGAGCCCAUGUGUCAUAAACUCCACCUAUGUACAUUGCUUUUGCAACUAAUAAGAAUGAUCCAAUUCCUAGUAAACAUAAGUGAAUACCUAAAAUUGUUGUCAUUUUAUUUUUAUCACGCCA